RNAcentral lists this ribosomal RNA (1280 nucleotides) under Platisus bicolor. RNAcentral's name for it is "16S ribosomal RNA". The stretch from base 1040 to 1198 matches the Rfam family "Archaeal large subunit ribosomal RNA", at positions 2542 to 2701 of the family's 2987-position model. The record is from RNAcentral. Lineage: Eukaryota; Metazoa; Arthropoda; Insecta; Coleoptera; Cucujidae.
UAUUAAUUUUAUUAUUAAUAGUUUAUGAAUAAUUUAUUUUAAUAUAAAUAUAUGAAUUUUUAUUAUUUUAAAAGAAAAAAUUUAUUUUAUGAUAGUGAAUAUGUAUUGUGAAAGAAAUAAAUUUAAAUUUUUAAAAGAAAAAUUAAAUUUUUGUACCUUGUGUAUCAGGGUUUAUUAAAUAUUAUUAAUAAAUUUUAUUUUCUCGAAUUUAAAAGAGCUAAUAAUUUAUAUUUUUUAUUGUUAAAUAAAUAUUAUUAAUAAAUUUUUAGUAAUGAAAUGUUAUUCGUUUUUAAAUAUAUCUAGUUUUUUUAGAAAAAAAUUUAAUUUUUUUUUAAAAUUUUAUAUAAAUAAUUAUUUAUUUGUAUAAAUUUUAAAUUUUAUAAUUUUAGGGAUAAGCUUGAAAUUAGAUUUUUAUAAAAUAUUAAAAGUUAUUUAAAUGUAGGAUUAGAAUUUUUUAUCAUUAAUAAAAUGUUAUAAUUUAUAAAUAUAAGUUUAUGAUUUUUUUUAUUUUAAAUUUUUUAUAAAAAUAUUUAUUUUAAUAAUUUAAAUAAAUUGAUAAUGAUAAAAUUAGUAUAAAGAGUUUUAUUUUUAAAGUUUUAUUUUAGGUUAAAUAAAGGAAUUAGACAAAUAUAUUUUUCACCUGUUUAUUAAAAACAUGUCUUUUUGAUAAUAAUUUAAAGUCUGACCUGCCCACUGAGAAUUUAAAUGGCUGCGGUAAUUUGACCGUACAAAGGUAGCAUAAUCAUUAGUUUUUUAAUUGAAAGCUGGAAUGAAAGGUUGAAUGAGAGAAUAGUUGUCUCUAUUUAAAAAUAUAGAAUUUUAUUUUUAAAUUAAAAAGUUUAAAUAUUAAUAAAAGACAAGAAGACCCUAUAGAGUUUAAUAUAUAUUUUAUAUUAAUAUUUUUUGUAUUUAUAAUUUAAUUUAAAAUAUUUAUUUAAUUGGGGUGAUUGAAAAAUUUAAUUAACUUUUUUUUGUAUAUUACAUUAAUGUAUGAGUUUUUGAUCCAAUAUUUUUGAUUAUAAGAAUAAAUUACCUUAGGGAUAACAGCGUAAUUUUUUUUUAGAGUUCAUAUUAAAAGAAAAGAUUGCGACCUCGAUGUUGGAUUAAAUUUUAUUUUAGGUGUAGAAGCUUGAAAAUUAGGUCUGUUCGACCUUUAAAAAUUUACAUGAUCUGAGUUUAAACCGGUGUGAGCCAGGUUGGUUUCUAUCUUUAUUAAAAAAAAUAUUUUAGUACGAAAGGACCAAAUAUUUAAUUAAUAAAUUUUAAAUUUGAAUAUUAAU